RNAcentral lists this ribosomal RNA (253 nucleotides) under uncultured bacterium. RNAcentral describes it as "partial 16S ribosomal RNA". It matches the Rfam family "Bacterial small subunit ribosomal RNA", at positions 524 to 776 of the family's 1533-position model. The record is from RNAcentral.
UACGUAGGGGGCAAGCGUUGUCCGGAAUCAUUGGGCGUAAAGCGCGCGUAGGCGGCCCGGUAAGUCCGCUCUGAAAGUCCAGGGCUUAACCCUGGAAAGCGGGUGGAUACUGCCGGGCUAGAAUCCGGAAGAGGCGAGUGGAAUUCCUGGUGUAGCGGUGGAAUGCGCAGAUAUCAGGAGGAACACCAAUGGCGAAGGCAGCUCGCUGGGACGUUACUGACGCUGAGACGCGAAAGCGUGGGGAGCAAACAGG